Non-coding RNA from Microbotryomycetes sp. JL221, 82 nucleotides. The record is from the annotation of a GenBank genome assembly. NCBI's taxonomy places the organism in Eukaryota, Fungi, Basidiomycota, Microbotryomycetes.
GCUCUGCUAGCGCAAUGGUAGCGCAUUGGACUUCUACUUUUCGGGGAUCCAAAGGUUGCGGGUUCGAGUCCCGCGUGGAGCU